RNAcentral lists this ribosomal RNA (281 nucleotides) under uncultured Staphylococcus sp. RNAcentral describes it as "partial 16S ribosomal RNA". It matches the Rfam family "Bacterial small subunit ribosomal RNA", at positions 81 to 354 of the family's 1533-position model. The record is from RNAcentral. Lineage: Bacteria; Bacillati; Bacillota; Bacilli; Caryophanales; Staphylococcaceae.
CUCCUUUGACGUUAGCGGCGGACGGGUGAGUAACACGUGGGUAACCUACCUAUAAGACUGGGAUAACUUCGGGAAACCGGAGCUAAUACCGGAUAAUAUUUCGAACCGCAUGGUUCGAUAGUGAAAGGUGGUUUUGCUAUCACUUAUAGAUGGACCCGCGCCGUAUUAGCUAGUUGGUAAGGUAACGGCUUACCAAGGCGACGAUACGUAGCCGACCUGAGAGGGUGAUCGGCCACACUGGAACUGAGACACGGUCCAGACUCCUACGGGAGGCAGCAGAU